GUGGGGAAUAUUGGGCAAUGGGCGAAAGCCUGACCCAGCAACGCCGCGUGAGGGAAGAAGGCCUUCGGGUUGUAAACCUCUGUCCUUGGUGACGAAAAAAAUGACGGUAGCCAAGGAGGAAGCCCCGGCUAACUACGUGCCAGCAGCCGCGGUAAUACGUAGGGGGCGAGCGUUGUCCGGAAUUACUGGGCGUAAAGGGUGCGUAGGUGGCCUUUUAAGUUGGAUGUGAAAUACCCGGGCUUAACUUGGGGGGUGCAUCUAAUACUGGAGGGCUAGAGUCCAGGAGAGGGAAGCGGAAUUCCUAGUGUAGCGGUGAAAUGCGUAGAUAUUAGGAGGAACACCAGUGGCGAAGGCGGCUUUCUGGACUGUAACUGACACUGAGGCACGAAAGCGUGGGAAGCAAACGGGAUUAGAUACCCUGGUAGUCC
RNAcentral lists this ribosomal RNA (428 nucleotides) under uncultured bacterium. RNAcentral describes it as "partial 16S ribosomal RNA". It matches the Rfam family "Bacterial small subunit ribosomal RNA", at positions 354 to 796 of the family's 1533-position model. The record is from RNAcentral.